RNAcentral lists this ribosomal RNA (230 nucleotides) under uncultured bacterium. Its description in RNAcentral is "partial 16S ribosomal RNA". It matches the Rfam family "Archaeal small subunit ribosomal RNA", at positions 518 to 747 of the family's 1478-position model. The record is from RNAcentral.
UCCGUAGCCGGCUUGAUAAGUCUUUUGGGAAAUCUGACAGCUUAACUGUCAGGCUUCUAAGGGAUACUGUCAGGCUUGGGACCGGAAGAGGUAAGGGGUACUCCAGGGGUAGGAGUGAAAUCUUGUAAUCCCUGGGGGACCAUCUGUGGCGAAGGCGCCUUACCAGAACGGGUCCGACGGUGAGGGACGAAAGCUAGGGGAGCAAACAGGAUUAGAUACCCUGGUAGUCC